AGUAACAGGACAAGGCAAGUAA
This 22-nucleotide small nuclear RNA is filed under the name Arabidopsis thaliana (thale cress). Its description in RNAcentral is "snRNA_01765". The record is from RNAcentral. Lineage: Eukaryota; Viridiplantae; Streptophyta; Magnoliopsida; Brassicales; Brassicaceae.